RNAcentral lists this ribosomal RNA (869 nucleotides) under uncultured bacterium. RNAcentral's name for it is "bacterial SSU rRNA". It matches the Rfam family "Bacterial small subunit ribosomal RNA", at positions 53 to 916 of the family's 1533-position model. The record is from RNAcentral.
ACAUGCAAGUCGAACGGCAGCACGGGUGCUUGCACCUGGUGGCGAGUGGCGAACGGGUGAGUAAUAUAUCGGAACGUGCCCUAGAGUGGGGGAUAACGUAGCGAAAGUUACGCUAAUACCGCAUACGAUCUACGGAUGAAAGUGGGGGAUCGCAAGACCUCAUGCUCCCGGAGCGGCCGAUAUCUGAUUAGCUAGUUGGUGGGGUAAAAGCCUACCAAGGCGACGAUCAGUAGCUGGUCUGAGAGGACGACCAGCCACACUGGGACUGAGACACGGCCCAGACUCCUACGGGAGGCAGCAGUGGGGAAUUUUGGACAAUGGGGGAAACCCUGAUCCAGCAAUGCCGCGUGUGUGAAGAAGGCCUUCGGGUUGUAAAGCACUUUUGUCAGGAACGAAACGGUGGGGGCUAAUACCUCCUGCUAAUGACGGUACCUGAAGAAUAAGCACCGGCUAACUACGUGCCAGCAGCCGCGGUAAUACGUAGGGUGCGAGCGUUAAUCGGAAUUACUGGGCGUAAAGCGUGCGCAGGCGGUUGUGCAAGACAGAUGUGAAAUCCCCGGGCUUAACCUGGGAAUUGCAUUUGUGACUGCACGGCUAGAGUGUGUCAGAGGGGGGUAGAAUUCCACGUGUAGCAGUGAAAUGCGUAGAUAUGUGGAGGAAUACCGAUGGCGAAGGCAGCCCCCUGGGAUAACACUGACGCUCAUGCACGAAAGCGUGGGGAGCAAACAGGAUUAGAUACCCUGGUAGUCCACGCCCUAAACGAUGUCUACUAGUUGUCGGGUCUUAAUUGACUUGGUAACGCAGCUAACGCGUGAAGUAGACCGCCUGGGGAGUACGGUCGCAAGAUUAAAACUCAAAGGAAUUGACGG